UCGCUACUACCGAUUGAACGGCUUAGUGAGUUUCGAGGAUUUGGGUACUGUUCGGUUUCACGACCGUCAGUAUCUGGAGAGCAGACACAAACUUGGUCGUUUAGAGGAAGGUG
This 113-nucleotide ribosomal RNA is filed under the name uncultured eukaryote. Its description in RNAcentral is "partial small subunit ribosomal RNA". The record is from RNAcentral.